GGAUUGCAGGCUGCAACCCGCCUGCAUGAAGUUGGAAUUGCUAGUAAUCGCGAAUCAGAAUGUCGCGGUGAAUAUGUUCCCGGGUCUUGUGCACACCGCCCGUCACACCAUGGGAGUUGGAAAUGCCCGAAGUCAGUGACCCAACCGCAAGGAGGGAGCUGCCGAAGGCAGGUCCGGUAACUGGGGUGAAGUCGUAACAAGGUACC
RNAcentral lists this ribosomal RNA (206 nucleotides) under uncultured bacterium. Its description in RNAcentral is "partial 16S ribosomal RNA". It matches the Rfam family "Bacterial small subunit ribosomal RNA", at positions 1295 to 1500 of the family's 1533-position model. The record is from RNAcentral.